Non-coding RNA from Flavobacterium hercynium, 79 nucleotides. The record is from Rfam. NCBI's taxonomy places the organism in Bacteria, Pseudomonadati, Bacteroidota, Flavobacteriia, Flavobacteriales, Flavobacteriaceae.
UUUGCGUUAGGGAUAGAAGCGAUAUCCUUUUUGUUUUUUCUUUAAAAACAAAAAGAUAUAGCGGAUAGCCCGGCCGUAG